GGCCUGUAUUCGCAGGAAAGGAUUAAAAGGGAAUCGGGUGAAAAUCCCGGACAGUCCCGCUGCUGUAAGCUUCAUAACGGAUAAGGCAACACUCGUGCCACUGACGAAGGAGUUGACAGAUAACAGUGGACAGUGGACAGUUUAACUGUCAAUUGUCAACUAUCAACUGUCAACUGACAAAAGUUGGGAAGGCGCCCGAUCCGGAAGUAAGUCAGAAGACCUGCAAGGCAUAU
RNAcentral lists this non-coding RNA (233 nucleotides) under Parabacteroides faecis. Lineage: Bacteria; Pseudomonadati; Bacteroidota; Bacteroidia; Bacteroidales; Tannerellaceae. The record is from RNAcentral.